UACGAAGGGGGCUAGCGUUGCUCGGAAUCACUGGGCGUAAAGCGCACGUAGGCGGGUUCUUAAGUCAGGGGUGAAAUCCUGGAGCUCAACUCCAGAACUGCCUUUGAUACUGGGAAUCUCGAGUCCGGGAGAGGUGAGUGGAACUGCGAGUGUAGAGGUGAAAUUCGUAGAUAUCUGGAGGAAUACCUGUGGCGAAGGCGGCCUUCUGGGCCACUCUUGACACUGAGACUCGAAAGCGUGGGUAGCAAACAGG
RNAcentral lists this ribosomal RNA (253 nucleotides) under uncultured bacterium. RNAcentral describes it as "partial 16S ribosomal RNA". It matches the Rfam family "Bacterial small subunit ribosomal RNA", at positions 524 to 776 of the family's 1533-position model. The record is from RNAcentral.